RNAcentral lists this small nuclear RNA (273 nucleotides) under Sarcophilus harrisii (Tasmanian devil). Its description in RNAcentral is "7SK RNA". It matches the Rfam family "7SK RNA". Rfam says of the family: 7SK was discovered as an abundant small nuclear RNA in the mid-70s but a possible function has only recently been suggested. Two independent studies have found that 7SK RNA binds the CDK9/cyclin T complex (known as elongation factor P-TEFb). The record is from Rfam by way of RNAcentral. Lineage: Eukaryota; Metazoa; Chordata; Mammalia; Dasyuromorphia; Dasyuridae.
AUAUUAGCUGGGAAAGGCUGACUGUGCCUAUGAUUUCUAAGAGUGGCUAGUCUGAUCAGAAUUGUAAGGCAAAUUUCCCCUUCCUCCACCUAGUCUUCAUGAAUAUUUCUUCAAAGUUAUAUCUUCAUUGAGGAGGUUGACCUUCCCCAUUAGAAGAGUGUCAUUCUUCACUCAAAGGUAAAUGAAUAUCUACACUUCACUAGAAUAAUUAAUGUCAAACACUGAUUAAAAGUAGCAGAGAACAGGAGCUGCCUAUCAAAUUUCCAAAUGUGG